Molecule: ribosomal RNA, 253 nt
Filed under: uncultured bacterium
Lineage: Bacteria
Description: partial 16S ribosomal RNA
Rfam family: Bacterial small subunit ribosomal RNA
Source: RNAcentral
UACGAAGGGUGCAAGCGUUACUCGGAAUUACUGGGCGUAAAGCGUGCGUAGGCGGUUUGUUAAGUCCGUUGUGAAAGCCCUGGGCUCAACCUGGGAAUUGCAGUGGAUACUGGCGAGCUAGAGUGCGGUAGAGGAUGGUGGAAUUCCCGGUGUAGCGGUGAAAUGCGUAGAGAUCGGGAGGAACACCCGUGGCGAAGGCGGCCAUCUGGACCAGCACUGACGCUGAGGCACGAAAGCUAGGGGAGCAAACAGG